This 512-nucleotide ribosomal RNA is filed under the name uncultured bacterium. Its description in RNAcentral is "bacterial SSU rRNA". It matches the Rfam family "Bacterial small subunit ribosomal RNA", at positions 28 to 532 of the family's 1533-position model. The record is from RNAcentral.
GAUGAACGCUAGCGGCAGGCUUAACACAUGCAAGUCGAGGGGUAACAGAGGUAGCUUGCUACUUGCUGACGACCGGCGCACGGGUGCGUAACGCGUAUAGAACCUACCUUUUACAGGAGAAUAGCCCAGAGAAAUUUGGAUUAAUGCUCCAUAGUAUUAUUGAAUGGCAUCGUUUAAUAAUUAAAGUUUCGGCGGUAAAAGAUGGCUACGCGUUCUAUUAGCUAGUUGGUACGGUAACGGCGUACCAAGGCGACGAUAGAUAGGGGUCCUGAGAGGGAGAUCCCCCACACUGGUACUGAGACACGGACCAGACUCCUACGGGAGGCAGCAGUGAGGAAUAUUGGACAAUGGAGGCAACUCUGAUCCAGCCAUGCCGCGUGCAGGAAGACGGCCCUAUGGGUUGUAAACUGCUUUUAUACGGGAAGAAACCCAACUACGUGUAGUUGGCUGACGGUACCGUAAGAAUAAAGCACCGGCUAACUCCGUGCCAGCAGCCGCGGUAAUGUAGACGU